UGGGGAAUUUUGGACAAUGGGCGAAAGCCUGAUCCAGCAAUGCCGCGUGUGUGAAGAAGGCCUUCGGGUUGUAAAGCACUUUUGUCCGGAAAGAAAUCCUUGGCUCUAAUACAGUCGGGGGACGACGGUACCGGAAGAAUAAGCACCGGCUAACUACGUGCCAGCAGCCGCGGUAAUACGUAGGGUGCAAGCGUUAAUCGGAAUUACUGGGCGUAAAGCGUGCGCAGGCGGUUUGCUAAGACCGAUGUGAAAUCCCCGGGCUCAACCUGGGAACUGCAUUGGUGACUGGCAGGCUAGAGUAUGGCAGAGGGGGGUAGAAUUCCACGUGUAGCAGUGAAAUGCGUAGAGAUGUGGAGGAAUACCGAUGGCGAAGGCAGCCCCCUGGGCCAAUACUGACGCUCAUGCACGAAAGCGUGGGGAGCAAACAGGAUUAGAUACCCUGGUAGUCCACGCCCUAAACGAUGUCAACUAGUUGUUGGGGAUUCAUUUCCUUAGUAACGUAGCUAACGCGUGAAGUUGACCGCCUGGGGAGUACGGUCGCAAGAUUAAAACUCAAAGGAAUUG
Molecule: ribosomal RNA, 564 nt
Filed under: uncultured bacterium
Lineage: Bacteria
Description: partial 16S ribosomal RNA
Rfam family: Bacterial small subunit ribosomal RNA
Source: RNAcentral